This 375-nucleotide ribosomal RNA is filed under the name uncultured bacterium. RNAcentral describes it as "partial 16S ribosomal RNA". It matches the Rfam family "Bacterial small subunit ribosomal RNA", at positions 338 to 710 of the family's 1533-position model. The record is from RNAcentral.
CCUACGGGUGGCUGCAGUGAGGAAUAUUGGUCAAUGGACGAGAGUCUGACCCAGCCAAGUAGCGUGAAGGAUGACUGCCCUAUGGGUUGUAAACUUCUUUUAUAUGGGAAUAAAAUGUUCCACGUGUGGGAUUUUGUAUGUACCAUAUGAAUAAGGACAGGCUAACUCCGUGCCAGCAGCCGCGGUAAUACGGAGGAUCCGAGCGUUAUCCGGAUUGAUGGGGUGUAAAGGGGGCGUAGGUGGAUUGUUAAGUCAGUUGUGAAAGUUUGCGGCUCAACCGUAAAAUUGCAGUUGAAACUGGCAGUCUGGAGUGCAGUAGAGGUGAGCGGAAUUCGUGGUGUAGCGGUGAAAUGCGUAGAUAUCACGAAGAACUCC